RNAcentral lists this long non-coding RNA (204 nucleotides) under Capsicum annuum. RNAcentral's name for it is "long non-coding RNA (CANN_LNC007245)". The record is from RNAcentral. Lineage: Eukaryota; Viridiplantae; Streptophyta; Magnoliopsida; Solanales; Solanaceae.
AACACUUUAUUUUGUAGGUUCAGUGUAACCCCCAACUUUAUGAAUUUGACUAACAAGGUAAAGAAUGUCUUGGAAUGGAAAGUAUGGAAGGAGCUUUGGCAUUAUUCUAUUUCCUAACUAGCCACCAUCGCUUCGACAAAGCUCUAGGGGCCUACCAGAAAGAGAGCCAAGAGAAAGAUACUUUAGAACUUAGUUUAGUUUUCC